Rhinichthys klamathensis goyatoka is the source of this 147-nucleotide long non-coding RNA. RefSeq lists it as uncharacterized. The transcript is spliced from 3 exons. NCBI's taxonomy places the organism in Eukaryota, Metazoa, Chordata, Actinopteri, Cypriniformes, Leuciscidae. The record is from RefSeq and is a predicted model, not a curated record.
AUUCAUAUAUUCUGCACAGCAGAUUUGAAAGAUUUCAGGUGAAAUGAAUCAGCCAGACGAGACAUCGGUGUCAUUGCAGAAACUCGAAGCUCUUAAUGAUGAACUGCAAGGAAGCAUCAAGAAACUGAACUCUGAAUAUGACAAAAA